RNAcentral lists this ribosomal RNA (480 nucleotides) under Streptococcus australis. RNAcentral's name for it is "bacterial SSU rRNA". It matches the Rfam family "Bacterial small subunit ribosomal RNA", at positions 28 to 491 of the family's 1533-position model. Lineage: Bacteria; Bacillati; Bacillota; Bacilli; Lactobacillales; Streptococcaceae. The record is from RNAcentral.
GAUGAACGCUGGCGGCGUGCCUAAUACAUGCAAGUAGAACGCUGAAGGAGGAGCUUGCUCUUUCCGGAUGAGUUGCGAACGGGUGAGUAACGCGUAGGUAACCUGCCUGGUAGCGGGGGAUAACUAUUGGAAACGAUAGCUAAUACCGCAUAACAGUAGAUAUUGCAUGAUAUCUGCUUGAAAGGGGCAAUUGCUCCACUACCAGAUGGACCUGCGUUGUAUUAGCUAGUUGGUGAGGUAACGGCUCACCGAGGCGACGAUACAUAGCCGACCUGAGAGGGUGAUCGGCCACACUGGGACUGAGACACGGCCCAGACUCCUACGGGAGGCAGCAGUAGGGAAUCUUCGGCAAUGGACGGAAGUCUGACCGAGCAACGCCGCGUGAGUGAAGAAGGUUUUCGGAUCGUAAAGCUCUGUUGUAAGAGAAGAACGAGUGUGAGAGUGGAAAGUUCACACUGUGACGGUAUCUUACCAGAAAGG